AUGGGCGCCAGGCUCUUCUGCUGUGUGACUCUCUGCCUCCUGGGAGCAGGCCUGGUGGAUUCUGGAGUCACCCAGACCCCCAAAUACCUGAUUAAAUCAAGAAAGCAGCAAGCGACUCUGAUGUGUUUCCCUGAAUCUGGACACCGCUCUGUGUACUGGUACCAACAGGCCCUGGGCCAGGGCCCCCAGUUCCUCGUUCAGUAUUUUGAUGGGGAAGAGUAUCAAAAAGGAAACAUAUCGGAUCGAUUCUCAGGAAAACAGUUGAGUGGCUCUCGCUCUGAGCUGAGCUUGACCCCCUUGGAGCUGACGGACUCUGCCCUGUAUCUCUGUGCCAGCAGCCAAGACACAGCCCUGCAUGAUCAGGUGCCUCUGGGACAAAAACACUCCUGCCCCAGCUCAGGAAGUGGUGCGCAGGGUGUCAGCUGCCAGCCUGCCAAGCCCAGUCUCUGGUAGAGCGAUAGACUUUCCCAGACAUUCACUUCUUGGUAUGUUUAAGUGCUCACUACGGUCAUCAAGAUUAGUAUUAUUUUAACUGAUUGUACAUCUGAGGGGUCGUGAGUUGCCCAGAUCUCAUACCUCAUAAGUGUUAUAGUUUGCAAUCCAGCUCAAGACUGUUUUCUAAACCUGCGGUCCCCUUGCUCAAGGUUCUUUCUCUGUACAAGCAAAUUACAUAUACACGUUGUAUUAUGUGUAACAGGAUACAAUUUGGGGCUCUAUGAUAUGAAUUGCUACUCAAUGAAUGGCAGCCACACUUCACAAGGAGGUAUUCCUAUGGGAGGAAUGUCUCAAAUAAAAAGAGAGCCUUUUCCGUUUA
Molecule: non-coding RNA, 814 nt
Organism: Odocoileus virginianus texanus
Lineage: Eukaryota; Metazoa; Chordata; Mammalia; Artiodactyla; Cervidae
Source: the annotation of a RefSeq genome assembly